UACAGAGGUCCCAAGCGUUGUUCGGAUUCACUGGGCGUAAAGGGUGCGUAGGUGGUCGGGUAAGUCUGAUGUGAAAUCUCUGGGCUCAACCCCGGAACUGCACUGGAUACUGCCUUGCUAGAGUACUGGAGAGGGAACUGGAAUUUACGGUGUAGCAGUGAAACGCGUAGAGAUCGUAAGGAAGACCAGUGGCGAAGGCGAGUUCCUGGACAGUAACUGACGCUGAGGCACGAAGGCCAGGGGAGCAAACGGG
Molecule: ribosomal RNA, 253 nt
Filed under: uncultured bacterium
Lineage: Bacteria
Description: partial 16S ribosomal RNA
Rfam family: Bacterial small subunit ribosomal RNA
Source: RNAcentral